This 691-nucleotide long non-coding RNA is filed under the name Vigna radiata. RNAcentral's name for it is "long non-coding RNA (VRAD_LNC014741)". Lineage: Eukaryota; Viridiplantae; Streptophyta; Magnoliopsida; Fabales; Fabaceae. The record is from RNAcentral.
UGAUUUUAGAUUUUAAGAACCCUCAAAUUAGUUCUUCAAUGAGUUUCGCCGACCAAAAAGAAAGAAAGUAUUCUUCUAUUAAUCUCUUUCUGACUGACUUCAGAAGUACUUUCCUCACAAUUCUGUUAUCUCAUAUUCAAAAGGAGAUUUGACUGAAAAUCAAAAACAAAUAAAGUAAUAAAAAGUUACUACAAUAAGCCAUAGAACACCAUGCUUCUGUUAUUUUUAGUAUCACUUCUUCCAAUUUAUAUCAACCUUCUACGUAAACCUGCAUGAAGAUCAAAACAAAAUAAGUAUAUGAGAAAUGUAUACGAAGCAACUUAUGGGUGAUGCUUACUUUUUGAACUACAGAAAACUAGAAAAAAAAAUGGCAUAAUUCGUAAUUAUUAUAUCAUAGAUAGUACCUUUUGAAAAUCAUCUAUUCUUGGGAUAAAAUAUGUCCUUGGUAGUUGGUGGCUUUUUUCGACCGGAGCUUGACGAAGAAGUUGAGGCAGUGGUCGUAGGUGGCGGUUUUGUAGGGCAAAUGGCGUUCUGAAUGUUGGUGUUGUUGGAACUCAUUUUACGUAAGGGUGUUUAGAAAAACAAAAGUAAAGUUUCUUAAGCAAUGGCUAUGUGUGGUUUUUGGCACAUCACUUCCAAUAUCGCACAGAGGUAUUUAUAAGGAAGAUUUUAAGCCUUCAUUCAAAGAAGG